This 266-nucleotide ribosomal RNA is filed under the name uncultured archaeon. Its description in RNAcentral is "partial 16S ribosomal RNA". It matches the Rfam family "Archaeal small subunit ribosomal RNA", at positions 717 to 982 of the family's 1478-position model. The record is from RNAcentral.
AGACGGUCUACAUUAGAUACCCCCGUAGUCCCAGCCGUAAACUAUGCUCGCUAGGUGUCAGGCAUGGCGCGACCGUGUCUGGUGCCGCAGGGAAGCCGUGAAGCGAGCCACCUGGGAAGUACGGCCGCAAGGCUGAAACUUAAAGGAAUUGGCGGGGGAGCACAACAACGGGUGGAGCCUGCGGUUUAAUUGGACUCAACGCCGGACAACUCACCGGGGACGACAGCAAUAUGUAGGCCAGGCUGAAGACCUUGCCUGAAUCGCUG